CAAGCACGUCUCAAACCACUAACUGAAUAAAACUAAAGUUAAACAGCUACCACCACGAUCAAAGAUCGUGAUCU
Molecule: ribosomal RNA, 74 nt
Filed under: Plestiodon sp. 2 CPV-2018
Lineage: Eukaryota; Metazoa; Chordata; Lepidosauria; Squamata; Scincidae
Description: partial 16S ribosomal RNA
Source: RNAcentral